This 497-nucleotide ribosomal RNA is filed under the name uncultured bacterium. RNAcentral describes it as "partial 16S ribosomal RNA". It matches the Rfam family "Bacterial small subunit ribosomal RNA", at positions 28 to 507 of the family's 1533-position model. The record is from RNAcentral.
GACGAACGCUGGCGGCGUGCUUAACACAUGCAAGUCGAGCGAACAGACCCUGCUUUUGUUCCUUUCUCGAUUGCCGAGCACGGGUGUGACACAUGUGGAUACUCCCCUUAUCAGUCUGGGAUCAUCUGGGGACACCGGAGCUUAUACCGGAUAAUCUACUGCACCGUAUUGUUCAUUAGUGAAAGACGGUUUUUCUGUCUAUUCUCGAUGCUUCCGCGCCGCAUUAGUUAGUUGGUAAGGUAACGGCUUAUUAAGGCAACGAUGCGUAGCCGACCUGAGAGGGUGAUCGGCCACACUGGAACUGAGACACGGUCCAGACUCCUACGGGAGGCAGCAGUAGGGAAUCUUCCGCAAUGGGCGAAAGCCUGACGGAGCAACGCCGCGUGAGUGAUGAAGGUCUUCGGAUCGUAAAACUCUGUUAUUAGGGAAGAACAAAUGUGUAAGUAACUAUGCACGUCUUGACGGUACCUAAUCAGAAAGCCACGGCUAACUACGUG